This 253-nucleotide ribosomal RNA is filed under the name uncultured bacterium. RNAcentral's name for it is "partial 16S ribosomal RNA". It matches the Rfam family "Bacterial small subunit ribosomal RNA", at positions 524 to 776 of the family's 1533-position model. The record is from RNAcentral.
UACAGAGGGGGCAAGCGUUAUUCGGAAUUAUUGGGCGUAAAGGGCGCGUAGGCGGCUUUGCAAGUGACGGGUGAAAUCCCUCGGCUUAACCGAGGAACUGCCUGUCAGACUGCAUUGCUAGAGUAUGGGAGAGGGAAGUGGAAUUUCCGGUGUAGCGGUGAAAUGCGUAGAUAUCGGAAGGAACAUCAGUGGCGAAAGCGACUUCCUGGACCAAUACUGACGCUCAUGUGCGAAAGCGUGGGGAGCAAACAGG